UUUACUAAAAAAGAAACAAAACCAAAAAAACGAAGAGGUUAUUUAACCCCAACUAAGCACUGCUUGCAUAGACCCAUGAUCACUG
Molecule: long non-coding RNA, 85 nt
Organism: Octopus sinensis (East Asian common octopus)
Lineage: Eukaryota; Metazoa; Mollusca; Cephalopoda; Octopoda; Octopodidae
Exons: 3
Source: RefSeq, a predicted model, not a curated record